UCCGUACUUUGCGUCGAAUCGUUGUCUGUCGAACUUUUUCCUUUACCGUUGUUAUUGUUGUAUUCCCUUCUCCUUUUUUUUUUUUUUUGACGUCGUCCGUAGGUUACCGGUGGUUGUAACGCCGGCUCGCCUUUUUUACUCAUGCAUUGAAUUAUCGUUUGUCGAGCUUUUUUUCGACCUUUGUGUUGUUCGGAGGCAUCCGAUUGUCAACUUAUCGACCCAUCUUUUUCGCCCUUGGCCGUAGGUUCGUCUGGGGUCACUCAGGUUUGGUAUCCCCAU
This 279-nucleotide long non-coding RNA is filed under the name Elaeis guineensis (African oil palm). Its description in RNAcentral is "long non-coding RNA (EGUI_LNC060973)". The record is from RNAcentral. Lineage: Eukaryota; Viridiplantae; Streptophyta; Magnoliopsida; Arecales; Arecaceae.